UUCCCUUCUGCAGGCAUGCGACCCAGCAGGAGACUAAUAAAACCAUCACCACCAGCACCAAAGCCAUCAAGCAGCUGUCUGAGAUUGUCAGAGGCUCAUCCAGGCAAGAGAGGCUCCAGCUGGACAGGCUGAAGAACCAGCUGUCGGAUGCCAUCCAGAGAUACGGAGCUGUGCAGAAGAAAAUAGCAGAGAAAUCCAAAGCUUUGCUUCCCACUGGGCAGAGAAGCACCAAGCAG
Molecule: long non-coding RNA, 236 nt
Organism: Empidonax traillii (willow flycatcher)
Lineage: Eukaryota; Metazoa; Chordata; Aves; Passeriformes; Tyrannidae
Exons: 3
Source: RefSeq, a predicted model, not a curated record